GGACGAACGCUGGCGGCGUGCUUAACACAUGCAAGUCGAGCGGUAAGGCCCUUUCGGGGUACGACGAGCGGCGAACGGGUGAGUAACACGUGGGUGACCUGCCCUUAGCUCUGGGAUAAGCCUGGGAAACUGGGUCGUAAUACCGGAUAUGACUCCAUGACGCAUGUUGUGGGGUGGAAAGCCCUGUGCGGCUAGGGGAUGGGCCUGCGGCCUAUCAGCUUGUUGGUGGGGUGAGUGGCCUACCAAGGCGACGACGGGUAGCCGGCCUGAGAGGGCGACCGGCCACACUGGGACUGGAGACACGGGCCCAGACUCCUACGGGAGGCAGGCAGUGGGGAAUCGUUGCGCAAUGGGCGAAAGCC
Molecule: ribosomal RNA, 362 nt
Filed under: uncultured bacterium
Lineage: Bacteria
Description: bacterial SSU rRNA
Rfam family: Bacterial small subunit ribosomal RNA
Source: RNAcentral